GUUGAACGCUGGCGGCCAGCUUAACACAUGCAAGUUGAGCGGGCGAGGUUGCUUCGGUAACUGAGCUAGCGGCGGACGGGUGAGUAAAGCUUAGGAAUUUGCCUAUUAGUGGGGGACCACCUUUUGAAAGGGAUGCUUAUACCGCAUAAGUCCUAAGGGAGAAAGCAGGGGAUCACUUGUGACCCUGCGGUAAUAGAUGAGCCUAAGUUGGAUUAGCUAGUUGGUGGGGUAAAGGCCUACCAAGGCGACGAUCUGUAGCGGGUUUGAGAGGAUGAUCCGCCACACUGGGACUGAGACACGGCCCCGACUCCUACGGGAGGCAGCAGUGGGGAAUAUUGGACAAUGGGGGGAACCCUGAUCCAGCCCUGCCGCGUGUGUGAAGAAGGCCUUUUGGUUGUAAAGCACUUUAAGUGGGGAGGAGGCUCUUUUGGUUAAUACCUGAGAAGAGUGGACGUUACCAAGAGAAUAAGCACCGGCUAACUUUGUG
RNAcentral lists this ribosomal RNA (487 nucleotides) under uncultured bacterium. Its description in RNAcentral is "bacterial SSU rRNA". It matches the Rfam family "Bacterial small subunit ribosomal RNA", at positions 28 to 507 of the family's 1533-position model. The record is from RNAcentral.